RNAcentral lists this ribosomal RNA (174 nucleotides) under Drosophila ananassae. RNAcentral's name for it is "5.8S ribosomal RNA". The record is from RNAcentral. Lineage: Eukaryota; Metazoa; Arthropoda; Insecta; Diptera; Drosophilidae.
UCGAUGAAGAACGCAGCAAACUUCAGGACACAUGAAGAUCGACAUUUUAAGUGCAUAUCGCAGCCAACUCUGGUAAAAGAAAUGGGACAACCGGAAAACAAAAUAGCGCAGUAAGUAGAGUGUGAUGUGUGGAAAAGAAGUGGCGUGGUACAAUGACUUAAAGCCAAAAAGGCU